This 466-nucleotide ribosomal RNA is filed under the name Vreelandella stevensii. RNAcentral's name for it is "partial 16S ribosomal RNA". It matches the Rfam family "Bacterial small subunit ribosomal RNA", at positions 338 to 795 of the family's 1533-position model. The record is from RNAcentral. Lineage: Bacteria; Pseudomonadati; Pseudomonadota; Gammaproteobacteria; Oceanospirillales; Halomonadaceae.
CCUACGGGAGGCUGCAGUGGGGAAUAUUGGACAAUGGGGGCAACCCUGAUCCAGCCAUGCCGCGUGUGUGAAGAAGGCCCUCGGGUUGUAAAGCACUUUCAGUGAGGAAGAACGCCUGGUGGUUAAUACCCAUCAGGAAAGACAUCACUCACAGAAGAAGCACCGGCUUAACUCCGUGCCAGCAGCCGCGGUAAUACGGAGGGUGCGAGCGUUAAUCGGAAUUACUGGGCGUAAAGCGCGCGUAGGUGGCUUGAUAAGCCGGUUGUGAAAGCCCCGGGCUCAACCUGGGAACGGCAUCCGGAACUGUCAAGCUAGAGUGCAGGAGAGGAAGGUAGAAUUCCCGGUGUAGCGGUGAAAUGCGUAGAGAUCGGGAGGAAUACCAGUGGCGAAGGCGGCCUUCUGGACUGACACUGACACUGAGGUGCGAAAGCGUGGGUAGCAAACAGGAUUCGAUACCCCUGUAGUC